This is a long non-coding RNA of Megalobrama amblycephala (Wuchang bream), 1154 nucleotides long. RefSeq lists it as uncharacterized. The record is from RefSeq and is a predicted model, not a curated record. Lineage: Eukaryota; Metazoa; Chordata; Actinopteri; Cypriniformes; Xenocyprididae. The transcript is spliced from 3 exons.
UAGAGGUAGGUGAGGUUAUGGUAAGAAGGACUGGGAGGAGGACGGCAGGUCAGCACUCUAAUUUGCACCAUCUCCCUCGAACAGUGGGGGCAGGUUCAGUGGCCAGCAUAGUGAGUAGUACAGCUGGUACCCUGUUUCGGCCUUGGAACUGAGUUCCUAGGUGGGAUUUUGUUUGAUUCACCGUCGGGACGACAUUGCAGAAAUUGGGGAUGGAAUGUAACAGGAUUAGGUGAUUGACAGCAGUGUUUGCCUAUCAGUGAAUAGUACUUCCUAUUUAAAGGCCGAUUGGCUGUUACCUGGGAUGCGUCACGUCCGUUUUCCCCCUUUGUUUUGGCUGUGUUGACGGUGGCUGUGGGUAAGUGUGCUGUGUUUUAAUACGGUGACUUAGAAAUUGUUGGCGUGCAUAAUCUAAAACUGUGUUUAUUUAGAAUGCAGUUUUAUGGUCCGGUGCUGCUUUCCUUUUUGUGCUGCUUAGUGGGUUUGAUGACUGUUUGCCUCUCAGUAUAUAUGACUUCUUGUACCCCAUGAUGGUAGCGGUGGGUAUGACUGUGACAAGCCCGUGCCUAUGAAGCAUUUUGUUCGGCGUGAUAUCCUGAUGGAUUCUCCCUCUCGUUCUAUGCUGUGAUUUGUUUGCUGCCGUGAUCGUUUUAUGCCGUGAUUGUUUGCUGCCGUGAGCUCUUGCUGCUGUCUUCGCGCUGUUAAAAGAGCGGCUGUCCAUACAGCCGCGCCGACGAAGUCAUCAACGUUUAUUAAAGGGGACUGCUGGUUUGAUUCUAUUACGUGCCUUUCUAGUGCCCUGCUUCAUGUUUUGGUUUAUUUCAUUAUUAGUUACCAUGGUUAAAUCAUUUAACCUUUUUCUUUUUCUUUUUCUUUAAGUUUGUGGAUAUUUGUUUGAUUGUAUUGCUUUGAUCUUUUUUUUUUGUGAAACUAUAAUCUGUCGACAUGUGCAUGUUUAACCUAUGAAUGCAAUUCAAAUCGUGUGGUGAUUUACUGUAUAGAAGUUGGUGUUUGUAACAAUUUCAGGUGAUUAACUAUCUGAUUUUUUGGUUACAUUGUUGCUUCUCCUCACUUUUGUUUGUUGAUACCACUUAUGUGAGGAGUUGCUGCAUUGAUGUUCAUAUUGCCCUUUCUGUCCAGUUUAUUUUCAAAGUUAU